GAGGGUAUAGCUCAGUGACAGAGUGCUUCCUUCGCAUGCAUGAGGUCCUGGGUUCAAUCCCCAGCACCUCUA
This 72-nucleotide transfer RNA is filed under the name Camelus bactrianus (Bactrian camel). It matches the Rfam family "tRNA". Rfam says of the family: Transfer RNA (tRNA) molecules are approximately 80 nucleotides in length. Their secondary structure includes four short double-helical elements and three loops (D, anti-codon, and T loops). Further hydrogen bonds mediate the characteristic L-shaped molecular structure. tRNAs have two regions of fundamental functional importance: the anti-codon, which is responsible for specific mRNA codon recognition, and the 3' end, to which the tRNAs corresponding amino acid is attached (by aminoacyl-tRNA synthetases). tRNAs cope with the degeneracy of the genetic code in two manners: having more than one tRNA (with a specific anti-codon) for a particular amino acid; and 'wobble' base-pairing, i.e. permitting non-standard base-pairing at the 3rd anti-codon position. Lineage: Eukaryota; Metazoa; Chordata; Mammalia; Artiodactyla; Camelidae. RNAcentral also lists the same sequence under 2 other names. The record is from Rfam by way of RNAcentral.